This 497-nucleotide ribosomal RNA is filed under the name uncultured bacterium. RNAcentral's name for it is "partial 16S ribosomal RNA". It matches the Rfam family "Bacterial small subunit ribosomal RNA", at positions 28 to 507 of the family's 1533-position model. The record is from RNAcentral.
GAUGAACGCUGGCGGCGUGCCUAAUACAUGCAAGUCGAGCGAACAGACGAGGAGCUUGCUCCUUUGACGUUAGCGGCGGACGGGUGAGUAACACGUGGAUAACCUACCUAUAAGACUGGGAUAACUUCGGGAAACCGGAGCUAAUACCGGAUAACAUGUUGAACCGCAUGGUUCAACAGUGAAAGACGGUCUUGCUGUCACUUAUAGAUGGAUCCGCGCCGCAUUAGCAAGUUGGUAAGGUAACGGCUUACCAAGGCAACGAUGCGUAGCCGACCUGAGAGGGUGAUCGGCCACACUGGAACUGAGACACGGUCCAGACUCCUACGGGAGGCAGCAGUAGGGAAUCUUCCGCAAUGGGCGAAAGCCUGACGGAGCAACGCCGCGUGAGUGAAGAAGGUCUUCGGAUCGUAAAACUCUGUUAUUAGGGAAGAACAAAUGUGUAAGUAACUAUGCACGUCUUGACGGUACCUAAUCAGAAAGCCACGGCUAACUACGUG